UACCAAUGCAAAUAUAAGGUAAAAGUCCGAGUCAGCCUUUUUCCGCCAUAUUUUAAAUCAAAAAUAUCUCGAAAAUGACCUUAUAAUAUUUUUAGCUUAUCUUUAUCCUUAAUUGAUGCUCUACCAGCUUAUAGUAUCAAUUUUAAUUUCUUAAUUUCUUAAAUUUUACCAAACCUCACCUAAGUACAUCCUUAAGGGUCACACUUAAAGCUACAACGUGGGCAUUAAAAAUCCUGAAAUGUGAAGACCUCCCCAAAUAUUUAGUUGUACAUAUAUGGUAAUGAUUGAAGGAAGACCAAAAGUAGACUAGUUAAGAAACUUAAUAAAAGAAAAGCAUUGAAAAGGUUACAUGUAUUUUUUUUUAACCUAAUACUACAACUAUUUGGCCACAGAUAUUAUUAAGGACAAUUUGACGUUACUCAGAGUUCUGAUCAAUCAUUCAAUAUUGUCAUUUGUGUUUAAGAAUUUGUGAUAAUAUAUAUAAUCCCUUUUAAUAUAUUUUCAAAGAACGAUUGUGUUCGUUUGACAGAUUUUGGACGUGGCAUAUCGCUAAAUGCUUUGCAAGGUGCACUAGGAAUGUUUAUGUGUGCAGGUGUCGCAAUAUAUCCAGUUGAAUUGUUGUAUAUACAUAUGCUUAAAUUAAACAUGUAAAUAACAUGCAUUGACCCAAAGUUUAUCGCAGCUUCAUCCCCUCACUUUUGUGGCGGUUAAUCUGAUGCAGCUUGGUACAAUUUCAUUUGGCUAUACCGGAUUAAUAUAUGGCCAUUUCGCUCCGUUUGUUAUAAACAAUACUUGCAGAUGUUCUAUAUUUUAUUGAUAAAUAAACGCACAUUUUAUGGACCUCUGUUUUAUAGGAUCUAAAACAACAUGCGUGCAGGCAUGAUAUGCCUUUGUUAGUCUUGUAUUAUUUUAACUUUUAGUUUCUUGUGUACAAUUUGGAGUUUGGUAUGGUGUUCAUUAUCACUGAACCAGUAUAUAUUUGUUUAGGGGCCAGCUGAAGGACGCCUCCGGGUGCGAGAAUUUCUCGUUGCAUUGAAGACCUGUUGGUGACCUACUGUUGU
RNAcentral lists this long non-coding RNA (1061 nucleotides) under Mytilus galloprovincialis (Mediterranean mussel). Lineage: Eukaryota; Metazoa; Mollusca; Bivalvia; Mytilida; Mytilidae. The record is from RNAcentral.